RNAcentral lists this ribosomal RNA (360 nucleotides) under uncultured bacterium. Its description in RNAcentral is "bacterial SSU rRNA". It matches the Rfam family "Bacterial small subunit ribosomal RNA", at positions 29 to 416 of the family's 1533-position model. The record is from RNAcentral.
AGCGAACGCUGGCGGCAGGCUUAACACAUGCAAGUCGAGCGCCCGUAGCAAUACGGGAGCGGCAGACGGGUGAGUAACACGUGGGAACGUGCCUUUUGGUUCGGAACAACUGAGGGAAACUUCAGCUAAUACCGGAUAAGCCCUUACGGGGAAGAUUUAUCGCCAAAGAUCGGCCCGCGUCUGAUUAGCUAGUUGGUGGGGUAAUGGCCCACCAAGGCUACGAUCAGUAGCUGGUCUGAGAGGAUGAUCAGCCACACUGGGACUGAGAUACGGCCCAGACUCCUACGGGAGGCAGCAGUGGGGAAGUCUUGCGCAAUGGGCGAAGCCCGACGCAGCGACGCCGCGUGAGGGAUGACGGCC